RNAcentral lists this ribosomal RNA (490 nucleotides) under uncultured bacterium. RNAcentral describes it as "partial 16S ribosomal RNA". It matches the Rfam family "Bacterial small subunit ribosomal RNA", at positions 29 to 507 of the family's 1533-position model. The record is from RNAcentral.
AGUGAACGCUGGCGGUAGGCCUAACACAUGCAAGCCGAACGGCAGCACAGGAGAGCUUGCUCUCUAGGUGGCGAGUGGCGGACGGGUGAGGAAUACAUCGGAAUCUGCCCAGUCGUGGGGGAUAACGUAGGGAAACUUACGCUAAUACCGCAUACGACCUUCGGGUGAAAGAGGGGGAUCGCAAGACCUCUCGCGAUUGGAUGAGCCGAUGUCGGAUUAGCUAGUUAGCGGGGUAAUGGCCCACCAAGGCGACGAUCCGUAGCUGGUCUGAGAGGAUGAUCAGCCACACUGGAACUGAGACACGGUCCAGACUCCUACGGGAGGCAGCAGUGGGGAAUAUUGGACAAUGGGCGCAAGCCUGAUCCAGCCAUACCGCGUGGGUGAAGAAGGCCUUCGGGCUGUAAAGCCCUUUUGUCGGGAAAGAAAUCUUUCAGGCUAAUACCCUGGGAGGAUGACGGUACCCAAAGAAUAAGCACCGGCUAACUUCGUG